GAGGGUAUAGCUCAGUGGUAGAGUGAAUGCUUGUCAUGCACAAGGUCCUGGGUUCAAUCUCCAGUACUUCCA
RNAcentral lists this transfer RNA (72 nucleotides) under Camelus bactrianus (Bactrian camel). It matches the Rfam family "tRNA". Rfam says of the family: Transfer RNA (tRNA) molecules are approximately 80 nucleotides in length. Their secondary structure includes four short double-helical elements and three loops (D, anti-codon, and T loops). RNAcentral also lists the same sequence under 2 other names. The record is from Rfam by way of RNAcentral. Lineage: Eukaryota; Metazoa; Chordata; Mammalia; Artiodactyla; Camelidae.